AGAGUUUGAUCCUGGCUCAGGACGAACGCUGGCGGCGUGGAUUAGGCAUGCAAGUCGAGCGACGGACCUUCGGGUUACGGAGCGGCGAACGGGUGAGUAACACGUGAAUAACCUACCCUCUCAUUCCGGAUAAUUGGCUGAAAAGCCUUGUAAUACGGGGGAGGUUGCGCUUGGGGCAUCCCAUGGCGUAACGAACAAGCAAUUGGUGCGAGGCGGGGUUCGCGGAUUAUCAGCUAGUUGGUGAGGUAACGGCUCACCAAGGCUACGACGAUUAGCUGGUCUGAGAGGAUGGUCAGCCACAUUGGAACUGAGAUACUGUCCAGACUCCUACGGGAGGCUGCAGUCGAGAAUCUUGGGCAAUGCACGAAAGUGUGACCCAGCGACGCCGCGUGCAGGAUGACUGCCCUCUGGGUUGUAAACUGCUUUUACGGGAGAAGAAUCAAUGACGGUACCCCGUGAAUAAGCCACGGCUAACUACGUGCCAGCAGCCGCGGUAAUACGUAGGUGGCAAGCGUUGUCCGGAUUUACUGGGCGUAAAGCGAACGCAGGCGGACUGUUAAGUAGGAAGUGAAAGGUCGGAGCUCAACUCCAACAUUGCUUCCUAUACUGGCAGUCUUGAGUAGCGGAGAGGAAGGGGGAACGACACGUGUAGCGGUGAAAUGCGUUGAUAUGUGUCGGAACACCCAUGGCGAAAGCACCCUUCUGGACGCAAACUGACGCUCAUGUUCGAAAGCUAAGGUAGCGAACAGGAUUAGAUACCCCUGUAGUCC
This 770-nucleotide ribosomal RNA is filed under the name uncultured bacterium. RNAcentral describes it as "bacterial SSU rRNA". It matches the Rfam family "Bacterial small subunit ribosomal RNA", at positions 8 to 796 of the family's 1533-position model. The record is from RNAcentral.